GAUGAACGCUGGCGGCGUGCCUAAUACAUGCAAGUCGAGCGAACAGACGAGGAGCUUGCUCCUCUGACGUUAGCGGCGGACGGGUGAGUAACACGUGGAUAACCUACCUAUCAGACUGGGAUAACUUCGGGAAACCGGAGCUAAUACCGGAUAAUAUAUUGCACCGCAUGGUUCAAUAGUGAAAGACGGUUUUGCUGUCACUUAUAGAUGGAUCCGCGCCGCAUUAGCUAGUUGGUAAGGUAACGGCUUACCAAGGCAACGAUGCGUAGCCGACCUGAGAGAGUGAUCGGCCACACUGGAACUGAGACACGGUCCAGACUCCUACGGGAGGCAGCAGUAGGGAAUCUUCCGCAAUGGGCGAAAGCCUGACGGAGCAACGCCGCGUGAGUGAUGAAGGUCUUCGGAUCGUAAAACUCUGUUAUUAGGGAAGAACAAAUGUGUAAGUAACUAUGCACGUCUUGACGGUACCUAAUCAGAAAGCCACGGCUAACUACGUG
RNAcentral lists this ribosomal RNA (497 nucleotides) under uncultured bacterium. RNAcentral's name for it is "partial 16S ribosomal RNA". It matches the Rfam family "Bacterial small subunit ribosomal RNA", at positions 28 to 507 of the family's 1533-position model. The record is from RNAcentral.